Copidosoma floridanum is the source of this 210-nucleotide long non-coding RNA. RefSeq lists it as uncharacterized. The record is from RefSeq and is a predicted model, not a curated record. NCBI's taxonomy places the organism in Eukaryota, Metazoa, Arthropoda, Insecta, Hymenoptera, Encyrtidae.
UUUGGCCCAGGUCGUCAUGGAGGAGUGCAGGGAGGCCAAGAUUCGCAGACAAAACAGACAAGUGGCGAUCACUGCUGGGGUUACCAUAGGCCUGAUUGUUGCAGUCAUAUGGUUCGUCGUUACGAGAUAAAAGAAUAGACACCAUACCAUCCACGGAAAUGGGUCAACACAAAGCAGCAGAUUGUGGUGCCAAAUAAACAUGACGAAUAA